Molecule: unclassified non-coding RNA, 395 nt
Filed under: Hevea brasiliensis (rubber tree)
Lineage: Eukaryota; Viridiplantae; Streptophyta; Magnoliopsida; Malpighiales; Euphorbiaceae
Source: RNAcentral
CAAGAGAGAGAACAGCUCCAGAAUAGAGAGAAGAAAGGAGGGAAUCAGAGAAGAGAAAAGUGAGGGAUGGAGUCGCCAUUUAGGUCAGAUAUAUUGAAAGGGAAGGUGGCUGUAAUAACAGGAGGUGGGUCAGGAAUUGGAUUUGAGAUAUCAGCACAGUUUGGAAAACAUGGUGCCUCUGUUUCGAUUAUGGGUAGACGCAAGCAAGUGCUUGACUCUGCAGUCUCCAAUCUCCAGUCCCUUGGAAUUGUCGCUGUUGGCUUUGAGGGCGAUGUUCGCAAGCAGGAAGAUGCUAAAAGAGUUUUAGAAUCAACUUUUAAACGUUUUGGCAGGAUUGACAUUCUUGUGAAUGCUGCAGCUGGCAACUUUCUUGUAUCGCCGGAGGAUUUGUCGCC